Molecule: long non-coding RNA, 262 nt
Filed under: Prunus persica (peach)
Lineage: Eukaryota; Viridiplantae; Streptophyta; Magnoliopsida; Rosales; Rosaceae
Description: long non-coding RNA (PPER_LNC004188)
Source: RNAcentral
AAACCACAGGUGCAAGUUUAAAAAUAUGCGCAAUUAUUAUAACAGGAACAUAUAACAAAUAGAUUUUUCCACCUGCAAUGAAGGUGCAGGCCCUGUGAAAUCUAAAAAAAAAAAAAAUUACAUUAUGUUCUGGAAGCCUCUGCAGGAAGAUGACGGCGCCUCUUAAGCUUAGCCAUGAGCUUCUCGUGGUCUCCUAAAAUUCUUUCAUUGGAGACCUGCAGCAUGUCUAGCCUUCUCAGUGUAUCAACAGAGUACGAACUCA